CUCUGACCAAUGAGAGGCAAGCGGAAGUGACGGUUAUUCCUCCUGCGCGGGAGCUUUGGGGACGCACUUCUGGAUGCCUAGGCCUCUUCCGUUUGCCUCUGGGACUGGCGAUACUCGAGAUGUCUUGAGGCCUUCCAGACCUUGCUCCACCUCCACCACCAGGUCUCCAGUCCUGAGCCACAUGCUGCCAUUUUUGUCUCAGAAGCACCCCUCUUCCAGGUGGAAGAUUGAAGGUCUGAAGAGUGGGAAGUCCCAGGAACAGGCAAUUCCAGGAAGAUAUGAGGAAAAUCAAGAAAGAGAAGGAAACUGAAGCUAGUGGGAAGUGCUUCAAGUUGGAGAUGAUGCUGAGAUGGCCAAAAAGUGAGAGGUGGAAAACAUUUGGAGUGAGUUAAGGAGAGAACGCGAGGCAAGGAAGUGAAGCUGAUUUUCAAACCUGAGUGAAUGAAUGAAUAAACGGACCUGGGAAUUGAUCAACAAUGGCUGCUGCAUCGCGUAAAGAGAGACGACCAGGUGUCAGCUGGCUGUCAACUGAUCUAGGAUGGUCUUGGAGGGACAACGAGGGCAACCCCAUGUCUCUUCUUUAGCAGGCCAGCCCAGACAUGCUUUCAUGGCUGAAUAGGAGCCAGCCUGGUCAUGGGAGCAAUUUUCAAGCAAGUCUCUGCUUGAAUGUCACAUUUACUAACAUCCUGUUGGCCAAGGUGCAUCCCAUGGCUGAGCCCAGUGUCCAAGUGAAAGGGCACCAGGAAGUUCCCUGCAGCGCUGUGGGUACUGGAAGAAUGGGCGCCAUCUUCAUGACAGCAGCAUGCUAAGUUACAGAAAGUGAGCGGCGUUCUAGACAAAGCAAGCUCAUCUGUGAAUGGAUCAUGGCGGAAACCUGACCACAGUAUGUUGGGAUUUAUGUGUUUGACAUUUUCUAUAAUAGAAAGGCAGAUCAAAAAUAAGGCUCCAGUGCCUCCACUCAGGAAAGCUCAAGUAGGUUUUCUUGAGAAUUUUUAGUGGAUACCCUGUUUUGCAAUGUUCUUUUCUUUUUCUAAUGAGGCUGAACCAGAUUGUAAUGCCAUGAGGCUUCUACAUGGAGAGCUGGACGUUGGUGAGGAUUGGGUGGAGAAGGCCGGGUGGAGGCUGGGCCUGGGAGAAGAGCAGCAGAUUCCCAAACGUACUGGUAUUGGUGCAUACUCUGAGAAAGACAUCUCAGAGCACUUCUGCCGUCAGUUACGAAGUUUCAAUAUAAGAAUUCUUUCUACACAUGCCUGCCUGUCUUUUCUUGUGACGCUUUGACAGAAGAAUUGUUUUCCUUAUGUGUCACAUACUAUACGGUUAGACACUAACACAUGUUUGUUUGAGCAUAUGACAAUUUCAACCUGACAAGCUUGAGGCUUUCCUUCUCCUCUCUCUCUUUCUUUCCUUCCUUCCUUUCAUGCACUUAUUUUAGAAAUAUGUAUGAAACUUCUCUUAGAGGCAGGCUCUGUGCUAGGUACUCGCGAUAAAAGGGUAAACUGAAAAACAGAUCUAAUUGAGUCUAGAACUUGUUAUUUCAAGCUGAAAUUCAUAAUGCAUGCAAAAACUCUAUGACAGCUUAGGUCCACCAGGACACUCUUUUUAUGAUAUUUAACAACAGAAAUUCAG
Molecule: long non-coding RNA, 1626 nt
Filed under: Homo sapiens (human)
Lineage: Eukaryota; Metazoa; Chordata; Mammalia; Primates; Hominidae
Description: HSALNT0338335
Source: RNAcentral